This 28-nucleotide non-coding RNA is filed under the name Homo sapiens (human). Lineage: Eukaryota; Metazoa; Chordata; Mammalia; Primates; Hominidae. The record is from RNAcentral.
UGACCUAAAAUAUUCUAUGUGUUUUUGC